Molecule: ribosomal RNA, 650 nt
Filed under: uncultured organism
Description: bacterial SSU rRNA
Rfam family: Bacterial small subunit ribosomal RNA
Source: RNAcentral
AGCUUCCCGAAAGGGAAGAUAAUUCCAGAUAGUCUCAUACUUUGAAAUAUUUAUGAGUAAAGCUUUUGCGGUUAGAGAGGGGCCUGCGUCCUAUCAGCUUGUUGGUGAGGUAAUGGCUCACCAAGGCGACAACGGGUAGCUGGUCUGAGAGGAUGUCCAGCCACACUGGCACUGAAAUACGGGCCAGACUCCUACGGGAGGCAGCAAUUAGGAAUUUUGCGCAAUGGGGGAAACCCUGACGCAGCGACGCCGCGUGAAGGAUGAAUGCCUUCGGGUUGUAAACUUCUUUUUUACAGGAACAAUAAACUGAGCGUACUGUAAGAAUAAGCACCUGCUAACUACGUGCCAGAAGCAUCGGUGAUACGUAGGGUGCGAGCAUUGUCCGGAAUUACUGGGCGUAAAGAGAUGCGUAGGCUUUUUGACAAGUUUCUCGUUAAAUACCAUGGCUUAACUGUGGGAAAGCGAGGGAAACUAUCAGAAUAGAGAUCGGUAGAGGUAGAUGGAAUUCCAAGUGGAGCAGUGAAAUGCGUUGAUAUUUGGAGGAACACCAAGGGCGAAGGCAGUCUACUGGACCGAUUCUGACGCUGAGGCUCGAAAGCGUGGGUAGCAAAACGGAUUAGAUACCCGUGUAGUCCACGCCGUAAACGAUG